Molecule: long non-coding RNA, 731 nt
Organism: Carya illinoinensis
Lineage: Eukaryota; Viridiplantae; Streptophyta; Magnoliopsida; Fagales; Juglandaceae
Exons: 3
Source: RefSeq, a predicted model, not a curated record
UAAAAGAAUGGGAGGACCACACUUAGAGCCGGCAGUGUAUUGGAAAGUGGCCUCACGGAAACAAUAGCAACAGCAGCGUUCCUCAACUUGUACUGUAGCACCAAAUCACGAGCAAAGCUGGUCUCGCAAGAACAAAGCAGAUGCUACGGAAUGUUGCAAUUUUUCUUCAGGCCGAAUUCUUUGACUGGGUCGAUGGACAUUUUUGGACUGGCUAGAGGAUUUAUUGGGUAGGAGCCUUCAGUGAUUCUUUCCUGGCGGGCUGGGCUGGCGAAUCUUCUAGUUUCUUUUGCACGUUUUUUCUUGAUGCAUUCAGCACUUAUUAGAGAGCGUCUCCGUCACAAGUAACAUGUUGUUAUCCCUAGGUCUACGAAUGACCAAGUUGCCAAGGCUUGAUCAGUACUUGUGAGACUGCUGGUCUCCCCUAGCAUCAUUUGCGCAUGCGUUGGCUCUAAGGAACUGGCUGAAUAUAUGGUGCUAUAUGUCCCAUAUGUACUGCAGAUAGUUUACAUCAUUAUGCGUAUUGAUCAACAGCUAGGCAUGUGUACUUAGAUCGAUUUCGGUCCACAUAUGUAAUUUUAGAGAUAAGAAUGCAGAUAGCUUACUCAGAUGGGGGACAUAUACUUUGUCUUCAGCAUUAAUUAUGUACUGCGCGCGACGUGGCGCCUUUCAGUACGUAAAACAUUACUCUAAUUAUUCAGUUCAUUAACCAAGAAAAUUUUCCCGUUACUCUC